GAUGAACGCUGGCGGCGUGCCUAAUACAUGCAAGUCGAGCGAACAGACGAGGAGCUUGCUCCUCUGACGUUAGCGGCGGACGGGUGAGUAACACGUGGAUAACCUACCUAUAAGACUGGGAUAACUUCGGGAAAACGGAGCUAAUACCGGAUAAUAUAUUGAACGGCAUGGUUCAAUAGUGAAAGACGGUUUUGCUGUCACUUAUAGAUGAAUCCGCGCCGCAUUAGCUAGUUGGUAAGGUAACGGCUUAUCAAGGCGACGAUGCGUAGCCGACCUGAGAGGGUGAUCGGCCACACUGGAACUGAGACACGGUCCAGACUCCUACGGGAGGCAGCAGUAGGGAAUCUUCCGCAAUGGGCGAAAGCCUGACGGAGCAACGCCGCGUGAGUGAUGAAGGUCUUCGGAUCGUAAAACUCUGUUAUUAGGGAAGAACAAAUGUGUAAGUAACUAUGCACGUCUUGACGGUACCUAAUCAGAAAGCCACGGCUAACUACGUG
Molecule: ribosomal RNA, 497 nt
Filed under: uncultured bacterium
Lineage: Bacteria
Description: partial 16S ribosomal RNA
Rfam family: Bacterial small subunit ribosomal RNA
Source: RNAcentral